AUGCUGGAAACUUCAGAACGUUUAAUUGUUUCUCUCCCGGGAAGUCAAGGCGCCGGCACCGGCAGCGGCAGCAACAGCAACUCAGAACUGCGGCUGAUGCUUCCCGCACUUCUUGCAGAAGGUGCGCCGGGUCUUGGGCACGUUCACCAUGAUGGCGGCUGCGGCGGCACCGGGCGCGGGAGGGGAUUCCUCGAGUCGGCUUCUCGCGGGGCCGGGCUUCUCGUCGACUUUUCGGCGCCGGGAAGGACACGGGAUGAGACGGACAAAGUUCUGAGAGAAAAAGCUGCCGGAGCCGGGAGCGAGGCGACCGGACGCACGAGACUCCCGGGGAGGAAGGGCCGAAGGCACGGGGACGCCGUUCUAUUGGCUCGCUCGAAGCGGAAGCGGAAGGGGAAGGUACCCAGGAGGCCAAGCGAGCCGGGUUAGCCGGAAGACCUGGUAAGUCCUGACGAAAGUGCCGAAGUGCUCGGAAGGCGCCGCUCUUUGGCGGCGGCGGCGGCCUUUCUGGGCGCGAAUGUGCUGUUGGGGUGUUGAGCAGUGAUUUACCGCCGGCUUGCGGGGCUGUGGCUACCGACGAGGGCUGAGUUUUAGCGAUUUACGACAGUUUGUUGCUCCUUUGUCGCCAUGGUGAUGAUCAUUUUAAAAAGCCUGGUUGUAAACACUGACUCGUGAUAAGGGUUUUAAAACGUGUUCUCGUUUGCGGUGAAAGAGUUCUAUCCUACCUCGGGGAAGCACGUGGCCAGGCCUGUUGGGAGGGGCGCAGACGCUGCCGCCCGCGGGGACCGGAAGUGGUGGAACCCUUUCGCUUGGUGCACGUACUUUUUAAAAAAACAAGUCAGCCAUUAUUAAAUGCCUACUGUGUGCCAAGCGCUGUGCCAAUUAAAAAUAGUUUACAAGCAUUUUAAAACAUUAGACUGGCUUUCCUACAAUUCCCUCAGCAUGUUGAUCCAAUUUUAUAAAAACUUGAAAAAUUAAAUACUUAAUACCCACAAAGUCCAGGAAAACAAUUCCCAACCAGGCCGUGACUGAAAAUGUUUGCCUCUUUCUGCAUUUUAAUUUCAUCCCUUCUGUGUGAGGCAUGUUUCAUAUUUAUUCUUAGGGACUUGUAUUCUCUCCGCCCCUGGACAGAAUUCUCAAGCUUUUCAAAAAGCUUUUUCAAUAUAAUGUUAUUAUGAAAAUGGCCCUAGUUCUCAUUUCACCCUGCAUCAGUUCAUAAGGGUGUCUCUCAACUUCCCUAUGAAAUUUUUCAUUUAAUCAUUUCUAAGGCACAGUAAUAUUUAUUCACAUACCAAUGGGUAUGUGAUCAUUCCCCAAAGGGAGCACACCUCCUACUUUACAAUUUUUGGCUCUCAGAAAAAAUCAGCAAUA
Molecule: long non-coding RNA, 1368 nt
Filed under: Monodelphis domestica (gray short-tailed opossum)
Lineage: Eukaryota; Metazoa; Chordata; Mammalia; Didelphimorphia; Didelphidae
Description: lncRNA (ENSMODG00000051033.1)
Source: RNAcentral